CGGAUCGGUGAUGACCACUGGAGUCGUAUCAGUCACGGACGAUGACAACAGCUCAAUGUCUGAGGUCCAA
Octodon degus (degu) is the source of this 70-nucleotide small nucleolar RNA. The record is from Ensembl. NCBI's taxonomy places the organism in Eukaryota, Metazoa, Chordata, Mammalia, Rodentia, Octodontidae.